AACGAACGCUGGCGGCAUGCCUAACACAUGCCAGUCGAACGAGACCUUCGGGUCUAGUGGCGCACGGGUGCGUAACGCGUGGGAACCUGCCCUUAGGUUCGGAAUAACUCCCCGAAAGGGGUGCUAAUACCGGAUAAUGUCUUCGGACCAAAGAUUUAUCGCCUUUGGAUGGGCCCGCGUUGGAUUAGCUAGUUGGUAGGGUAAAAGCCUACCAAGGCGACGAUCCAUAGCUGGUCUGAGAGGAUGAUCAGCCACACUGGGACUGAGACACGGCCCAGACUCCUACGGGAGGCAGCAGUGGGGAAUAUUGGACCAUGGGCGAAAGCCUGAUCCAGCAAUGCCGCGUGAGUGAUGAAGGCCUUAGGGUUGUAAAGCUCUUUUACCCGGGAUGAUAAUGACAGUACCGGGAGAAUAAGCUCCGGCUAACUCCGUG
This 433-nucleotide ribosomal RNA is filed under the name uncultured bacterium. Its description in RNAcentral is "partial 16S ribosomal RNA". It matches the Rfam family "Bacterial small subunit ribosomal RNA", at positions 29 to 507 of the family's 1533-position model. The record is from RNAcentral.